This 269-nucleotide ribosomal RNA is filed under the name uncultured Planctomycetales bacterium. Its description in RNAcentral is "partial 16S ribosomal RNA". It matches the Rfam family "Bacterial small subunit ribosomal RNA", at positions 565 to 832 of the family's 1533-position model. Lineage: Bacteria; Pseudomonadati; Planctomycetota; Planctomycetia; Planctomycetales. The record is from RNAcentral.
GAGCACGUAGGUGGGUUUGUAAGUCAGAUGCGAAAGCCUUCUGUUCAACGGAAGAAUUGCAUCUGAAACUGCGAGUCUUGAGUGUAGGAGAGGAGAAUGGAACUUCUGGUGGAGCGGUGAAAUGCGUAGAUAUCAGAAGGAACGCCGGCGGCGAAAGCGAUUCUCUGGCCUAUCACUGACACUCAGUGUGCGAAAGCUAGGGGAGCAAACGGGAUUAGAUACCCCGGUAGUCCUAGCCGUAAACGAUGGGCACUAAGUAGAGGGGUUUU